This 956-nucleotide long non-coding RNA is filed under the name Setaria italica (foxtail millet). Its description in RNAcentral is "long non-coding RNA (SITA_LNC000218)". The record is from RNAcentral. Lineage: Eukaryota; Viridiplantae; Streptophyta; Magnoliopsida; Poales; Poaceae.
CACGAUAGAUAUUUUCUUGUGAUAUAUCUAGGAAGGAACAAGGUCCUCAAGUGGAUAGUUCCACUAUCCGCUUGUGGUUUGAUGAAACAUCAGACAAUAUCUUUAUCAAUGAAAUAGGCACAAUCUCAUACCCGUUCGUUCAAAACGAAAAGAAAAGAAACAUCAGACAAUAGUUCGAAAAUCAAAGAAAGAAAUAAAGAGAAAAAAAAUCGCCAGGAUCUUGUUUUGCCGUUCUGAAUUUGUGGUCGCCGCUCCCAUGCGAUGCGUAGCGUUGGUGGAUGGAUCCAUCAGUGGCCGCCGCCCACGGCGUCCUUGACCGCGGCCGCCGCGCCCUGGGCCAUCUGCGCCACCUGAUCAGCAGCCUGCGCUCCCACACGGAUGGGAGGAUUAGAGGAUUAUUCAUCGGAAAUCACCCGGCGAGGAGGAAUUCAUCCGUACUACCUGCUGGACGGUGUCGGCGGCGCGGUGCUGCUGCUGCUGCGCGCUGUCGGCCGCAGCUCCGGUGGCGUCGGCCGCGGCGCCGCCGGCGGCGUCCUUGACGGACUGCGCCGCGCUCUCCGCCUGGCACUGCACACACACACACAUGGAUCAUUCAUGGAUGAAUUCCAGGGCACGCCAUGCCAUGCAAGCAAAGCGAUUCGUCAGCACUAGCUCACCUCGCCCUCGGCGGCGUGCGCCUUGCCGGCCUGGAUGGAUUGCUCAACGUUCGACAUCGCCGAUGAUGGUUUCUUCUUGAAGCUGUCAAAAUUACUUGAAGUUGCCAGGCGCUUGAGCCGUGGUUUAUAUAGAGCCUUGUAGGAGCUGCAAGUCUUGACAAGUGUCAGGUUAAUUUUUAGCCAUUUGCUAAUUACCGCAAGCCAAAUUUAGAGCCUCCACAAAUAUCGUAUUCAUAAUUUAUUUCUAGAUUAAAUCACAACUAAAAGUGCUUAUAUAUCCAACAGUCACCUCUGAUGAGC